This 70-nucleotide transfer RNA is filed under the name Phrynosoma platyrhinos (Desert horned lizard). RNAcentral describes it as "tRNA-OTHER". Lineage: Eukaryota; Metazoa; Chordata; Lepidosauria; Squamata; Phrynosomatidae. The record is from RNAcentral.
GCCACUGUGGUGUAGUGGUCUGAGCAUUGGACUAUGACUCAAGACCAGGGUUCAAAUCCCUGCUAAACCA